RNAcentral lists this ribosomal RNA (274 nucleotides) under uncultured bacterium. Its description in RNAcentral is "partial 16S ribosomal RNA". It matches the Rfam family "Bacterial small subunit ribosomal RNA", at positions 523 to 796 of the family's 1533-position model. The record is from RNAcentral.
AUACAGAGGGUGCAAGCGUUAAUCGGAAUUACUGGGCGUAAAGCGCGCGUAGGCGGUUUGUUAAGUUGGAUGUGAAAGCCCCGGGCUUAACCUGGGAGGGUCAUUCAAAACUGGCAGACUAGAGUGCGGUAGAGGGUAGUGGAAUUCCUAGUGUAGCGGUGAAAUGCGUAGAGAUUAGGAGGAACACCAGUGGCGAAGGCGACUGCCUGGACCAACACUGACGCUGAGGUGCGAAAGCGUGGGUAGCGAACAGGAUUAGAAACCCCAGUAGUCC